Molecule: long non-coding RNA, 88 nt
Organism: Sander lucioperca (pikeperch)
Lineage: Eukaryota; Metazoa; Chordata; Actinopteri; Perciformes; Percidae
Exons: 3
Source: RefSeq, a predicted model, not a curated record
ACAUUUAAACACAAAGAGCACGUUUCUCUCCCAUCCCAGAAUGCUGUGUGGACUAGCCAGACCCUCCUACCCAGCGCUGUGCAGGAAG